GGAGAAGUAUUCACCUUUUUCACGAUCCCACACAAGCUGAUAGACAGGCGAUUUGCAUAAGGCCCACAGUGCGUCCUAUCCAGACGCACUCUUUUUGCAUAAAACAACAUAGGGGGAGACGACAAACUGCAGAAACUCAGCCUGCUGAUGAAACACAGGCCCUGGUACUGUGUCUGGCCCCGCUCCGGUUCCCCCAGGACCAGCGCCCGCAGGAUCUUCACAUGCUGAGAACAACACAAUAACCGUCAGGAGCCAACAAAACAACACCGACGGACCAAGUCCAAAUGUUGAGAAAAAGUGUGUGUCCACUCACCCGCUUGAAAUCUGCCAGGAAGGUGAUGAGAGUGCCGUCCGUGUGCCUGAACUCUACACUGAUGAUGUCCCGCUCGCUGUCCGACUCUAAAGUCUCCGCGGUUAUCUGAC
Molecule: long non-coding RNA, 423 nt
Organism: Hemibagrus wyckioides
Lineage: Eukaryota; Metazoa; Chordata; Actinopteri; Siluriformes; Bagridae
Exons: 3
Source: RefSeq, a predicted model, not a curated record